UUAUAAAAAAUUCUUUAAUUUUUACUGUUAAAAAUUGACAUUGCUGACAGAUAAUCAAAUAGUUACACAUGAUAUGCUAUGUGUGCCUUAUUUUGACAGAUAGGGACUAAUUUUUAAUAGUAGAAAUAUAUGAAAUUUUUAAUA
Molecule: non-coding RNA, 144 nt
Organism: Gossypium arboreum
Lineage: Eukaryota; Viridiplantae; Streptophyta; Magnoliopsida; Malvales; Malvaceae
Source: Rfam